This 1117-nucleotide small RNA is filed under the name Pan troglodytes (chimpanzee). RNAcentral's name for it is "retained intron". Lineage: Eukaryota; Metazoa; Chordata; Mammalia; Primates; Hominidae. The record is from RNAcentral.
CGGGCAGCAGACAGUGGUCAGUCCUUUCUUGGCUCUGCUGACACUCGAGCCCACAUUCCGUCACCUGCUCAGAAUCAUGCAGGUCUCCACUGCUGCCCUUGCUGUCCUCCUCUGCACCAUGGCUCUCUGCAACCAGUUCUCUGCAUCACGUGAGUCUGAGUUUCGUUGUGGGUAUCACCACUCUCUGGCCAUGGUUAGACCACAUCAAUCUUUUCUUGUGGCCUAAAAGCCCCCAAGAGAAAAGAGAACUUCUUAAAGGGCUGCCAAACAUCUUGGUCUUUCUCUUCAAGACUUUUAUUUUUAUCUCUAGAAGGGGUCUUAGCCCCCUAGUCUCCAGAUAUGAGAAUCUAGGCAGGGGCAGGGGAGUUACAGUCCCUUUUACAGAUAGAAAAACAGGGUUCGAAACGAAUCAGUUAGCAAGAGGCAGAAUCCAGGGCUGCUUACUUCCCAGUGGGGUAUGUUGUUCACUCUCCAGCUCACUCUAGGUCUCCCAGGAGCUCUGUCCCUUGGAUGUCUUAUGAGAGAUGUCCAAGGCUUCUCUUGGGCUGGGGUAUGACUUCUUGAACCAGACAAAAUUCCCUGAAGAGAACUGAGAUGAGAGAACAGUCCGUUCAGGUAUCUGGAUCACACAGAGAAACAGAGAACCCACUAUGAAGAGUCAAGGAGAAAGAAGGAUACAGACAGGAACAAAGAGACAUUUCUCAGCAAAAACGCCCAAAUGCCUUCCAGUCACUUGGUCUGAGCAAGCCUGCCUUCCUCAACUGCUCGGGGAUCAGAAGCUGCCUGGCCUUUUCUUCUGAGCUCCUUGGGAACAUCCCUGUGACCUCCACAGCUACCUCUUCUAUGGACUGGUUGUUGCCAAACAGCCACACUGUGGGACUCUUCUUAACUUAAAUUUUAAUUUAUUUAUACUAUUUAGUUUUUGUAAUUUAUUUUCGAUUUCACAGUGUGUUUGUGAUUGUUUGCUCUGAGAGUUCCCCUGUCCCCUCCCCCUUCCCUCACACCGUGUCUGGUGACAACCGAGUGGCUGUCAUUGGCCUGUGUAGGCAGUCAUGGCACCAAAGCCACCAGACUGACAAAUGUGUAUCGGAUGCUUUUGUUCAGGGCUGUGAUCGGC